GGCCCACCAAGCCUUCGAUGGAUAGGGGUUCUGAGAGGAAGGUCCCCCACAUUGGAACUGAGACACGGUCCAAACUCCUACGGGAGGCAGCAUG
Molecule: ribosomal RNA, 94 nt
Filed under: uncultured bacterium
Lineage: Bacteria
Description: partial 16S ribosomal RNA
Rfam family: Bacterial small subunit ribosomal RNA
Source: RNAcentral